UGUUAUAAAACUAUUUUAGGCUCUAUAUGAAUGCAUGACAUUGAAUGAGAAUUGUCCGAAUAAUCACUUAAAGACGGUGUUCUACGUGGGUUCAAUUAUGAUCGGACUGAAUUGGCAUUCGACCUAACUCUCACUAUGCCUUGUUUAAUUAGCCAAAACAUCCAAUUCAACUCUAAAUAUCUUCAUUACACUUCCAAUAUUCUAAAUACACCAAAGUACCUCAAUGAGCUUAAUUGUGACUUAAUUCACCGUAAUCGAAAUUCAUUCCGAUUUCAAUAUCCGAUACCAUAAAUCAUCAAU
RNAcentral lists this long non-coding RNA (300 nucleotides) under Theobroma cacao (cacao). RNAcentral describes it as "long non-coding RNA (TCAC_LNC001656)". Lineage: Eukaryota; Viridiplantae; Streptophyta; Magnoliopsida; Malvales; Malvaceae. The record is from RNAcentral.